GACGAACCGUGCGACCGUUAUUCGGAAUCACUGGGCUUAAAGCGCGUGUAGGCGGAUGGGAACGUCGGCGACUGAAAGCCCCCGGCUCAACCGGGGAAGCGGAACCGAUACGGCCCGUCUGGAGGGGCGUAGGGGGACCUGGAACUUCCGGUGGAGCGGUGAAAUGCGUUGAGAUCGGAAGGAACGCCCGUGGCGAAAGCGAGGUCCUGGACGUCAUCUGACGCUGAGACGCGAAAGCUAGGGGAGCGAACGGG
This 254-nucleotide ribosomal RNA is filed under the name uncultured bacterium. RNAcentral describes it as "partial 16S ribosomal RNA". It matches the Rfam family "Bacterial small subunit ribosomal RNA", at positions 524 to 776 of the family's 1533-position model. The record is from RNAcentral.